AUGUUGAGAGUGUUUCUCUGUGUGUUUUAUGAUGACCUGCAGCGAGGCCUAUCCAUCAUAAAGCAUCAGGAGAGACAUGAAACUACUCCCCCUCUUCCCUCUUCCCCUCGCUUCCUCUCUUCCCCUCUCUUCCCCUCGCUUCCUCUCUUCCCCCCUAUUCCCCUCUCUUCCCAUCUAUUCCCCUCUCUUCCCCCCUAUUCCCCUCUCUUCCCCAUCUCUCUUCCCCUCGCUUCCUCUCUUCCCCUCGCUUCCUCUAUUCCCCUCUCUUCCCCUCGCUUCCCCCCUAUUCCCCUCUCUUCCCCUCUCUUCCCCUCUAUUCCCCUCUCUCUUCCCCUCUCUUCCCCUCUAUUCCCCUCUCUCUUCCCCUCUCUUCCCCCCUAUUCCCCUCUCUUCCCCUAUAUUCCCCUCUCUUCCCCUCUAUUCCCCUCUCUUCCCCUCUAUUCCCCUCUCUUCCCCUCUAUUCCCAUCUCUUCCCCUCUAUUCCCCUCUAUUCCCCUCUCUCUUCCCCUCUAUUCCCAUCUCUUCCCCUCUAUUCCCCUCUCUCUUCCCCUCUCUUCCCCUCGCUUCCUCUCUUCCCCCCUAUUCCCCUCUCUCCCCCCUCUCUUCCCCUCGCUUCCUCUCUUCCCCCCUAUUCCCCUCUCUUCCCCUCUCUCUUCCCCUCUCUUCCCCUCACAUCCUCUCUUCCCCCCUAUUCCCCUCUCUUCCCCCACUCUCUUCCCCUCUCUUCCCCUUGCUCCCUCUCUUCCCCCUCUCUCUUCCCCUUGCUCCCUAUCUUCCCCCUCUCUCUUCCCCUUGCUCCCUCUCUUCCCCCUCUCUUCCCCUCUCUUCCUCUCUUCCCCUCUCUUCCCCCUAUUCUCCUCUCUUCCCCCCACUCUUCCCCCCUAUUCCCCUCUCUUCCCCCUCUCUCUUCCCCUUGCUCCCUCUCUCCCCAUCUCGUCCCCUCUCUUGUCUGUAGAUACAGUAUGUAUUAGUGUUGGGGAAUACUGCUAUCCGGUGCUGCCAGAUUCUAUUAACAACUGUGAGCUCAAUCAGAGGCAAAAUCCCACUCAAUCUUCUAGAAUGUCACAGUUGUGCAGGACAUUACCCAAUCUGGCAACCGCUGUUAUCGGCUGUCCUGGUGAUGUUGUGCUGUCCAGACAUGCUCUCUCUCUCUUUCUCACUCUGGGAGAUGACAACACCCACACUCUGGAUAUGCCCGGAAUCUGA
RNAcentral lists this long non-coding RNA (1206 nucleotides) under Oncorhynchus mykiss (rainbow trout). Its description in RNAcentral is "lncRNA (ENSOMYG00000070071.1)". The record is from RNAcentral. Lineage: Eukaryota; Metazoa; Chordata; Actinopteri; Salmoniformes; Salmonidae.